This 45-nucleotide non-coding RNA is filed under the name Schistosoma mansoni. Lineage: Eukaryota; Metazoa; Platyhelminthes; Trematoda; Strigeidida; Schistosomatidae. The record is from RNAcentral.
AUUCAGCUGGCGAGUCUCAAAUAGGACGAAACGCUCGUUCUGGAU